CGUACGGGCUGGGUUGGUCUAUUUAAAGUGGUUGCAACUACGACGCAUAACAGUCCUCAGGAGUCGUCCACAGCAAAGAGAUACUGAUUUCAAGUCGCUCGUUUUACGAAGGCAACCAUAGAGAGCGCUUCGAGGAUGGAUUACACAAGAUUCAUGACUGAUGUGACCAAGAAUAGAAAAGCAACACUACUAAGAGAUCUGUUUAACCUGCAACAGCAAGGCAGAGAUGACUGGAUAUAUGAUAGCUGGUUUACCUAACGAGGUUCCUUCUUUCCCUUGAAGGAAGGACAGUUCACUAUGGCAGACGGGACGAAAAUAAUCCUAGAUAAAAACACGAUGAAAGAGUGCUUGCAGUAUGGACCAUCAGGCGGAUAUCCUCCGCUGGUGAAGCAGCUGGAAGCAAUGGUGAAGAAGCACCACAAUCCUCCGCGGUGGUCCGAGAGAAAACUGAUGACCAUCAACGGCAUCCAAGAUGGCCUCGCUGCGACUGUAACAAUGAUGAUGAACGAAAGAGACUUCGUUCUCUUGGCAAAACCAACUUACAGCACUUAUUUGUCACUCGUAAGUCUUGGGAGAACUCGGUUAUCCCCUCUUCUUUGAGGUCAGAGAGGUGUUCUUAGGCUAUUCCACCAAAAUUCACCAUUUUUGAAAGUAAAUUGUAUUUUUCCUAACUAUACAAACCUCAGAUCCUUUACAUAAGGAAUUACUAUCCAGCACCAGCUGGACCAGUCGUAAGAUUUACUAACAAGGUACUUCGGCAGUAACUGUUUAUCCGAUGGUCAGGAGUCCCACCCGACUGGAAGUAAACAUACCACUUUGCUUUAGGCCCAGGUACAGUGAGGGGUGACAUGAGGUAGGACUAUAUGUAAAGGACCUCAGAUUUGUAGUUAGGAAAAAUACAAUCUACUUUCGAAAAUUGUGAUUUGUUCCAACACGUUAUCCAAACCAUCGGUCCUUUACAUAAGGAAGACUCACUUAUUGGUGGGAAGAAUCUGAGUCUUGUGAACAGAUUGGUGUUUGCCCAACCUGGGACAAACACCAGUCGUAAGAGCAAAGAGGGGAGAACCUAGCCUCUGUCCAGCUGAUCGGAGUGGGAACUGCAGGAUCAGUGGCCAGACCUCUGGACCAAUUCAUAAGAGUAAGGCAAGCGUACCUCUUAUGAAUAGCAAGCAAGAACUAAUGUCCUAAGUAAGAAGUAUUGGGUUUAUUUCUCGCGCUCGCGGCUAUUCUGGAAUCGUCGGGCGUAUUGUGGUUUUGGAGUGCAACACACGCCUAAGUGGCGGGAGAAAUGCCGCGAUUUCUAAUGCAAUACCUCAUCGAGAUUCAUCUAAGGAGUUCUAGAAAUCGCUGGAGCCUGACGUUGGCCGUAGGCUCCGCCCCCAGAAUGCCGUAUAAAUACGACGGACGAAGUGGCAGCAGGAGGAGGAGAUAUAGAGAGAGAUCGUAAAAGAGAUUCCAGUUAGUCACAGAGAGAUAUCCUCAGUAAGAGCCACAGAUCCGAUUAUCAGUGAGAGAUCAGCAGCAGCAGAGAUCAUUCGUGAGAGAUACGAGAAAAAGGAACCAACGAAGGAUCAGAAGAAAAGUUGUUCGAGAGUUGGUUGGAUACUGGUCUGGUCGUCUUCAGGAGUGGACGGCCGUGUUAUCUCGACGCCAAACAGACUUCAGGGAAGAAAAGGUCCCGCUACAGGUUUUGGGGAGUUCCGGCCUUACAAGCAGACUAUUUUCUGUGAUACGGAGUCAAGAGGACGUCUGCAAUUGCCGCUCUCCUUUUGUGAAGCCACCACUUCGAAUUGCCAAACUGACUAGCAAGUAUUUGAAUUGCCUCACUGUUCCCCCAAGUACAUGCAGAGUAAGAUUCUAUCUUUUUAUGCAAAUAGGAGAUACCAUUCUGCAUUUACCUUUGUUAGUAAGCUUGUAAAUAAACCUUUGUUGUGUUAGUGUUUCUUUCUAUAUUCGUAUCCACAGUUUCAACUGUUGGUGUUGAAAUAUUUUUUUUUUAUUAUUUCAUAUCGAACCUGAAGCGGACCUCUCUCAGAGGCCGUAACAUUGUGUCGACCUUUGGCCAGGAUAUUUCGACACCAUAACAUUGUGUCGACCUUUGGCCAGGAUAUUUCGACACCGUAACAGUAAGCUGCAAAACUUGUUGAGCAGCCACCACGGGUCCCAAGGAAAAAGUGUCCAAAAAACCUAUGGGCAAAAUCCCGAAGGUAGGA
Molecule: long non-coding RNA, 2213 nt
Organism: Macrobrachium nipponense
Lineage: Eukaryota; Metazoa; Arthropoda; Malacostraca; Decapoda; Palaemonidae
Exons: 4
Source: RefSeq, a predicted model, not a curated record